ACGAACACACACUCUGGACAUACACACACACACACUGGACACACACUCAAACUGGACAAACACACACUCACUGGACACACACACACUCACUGGACACACACACACACACUCACUGGACACACACACACACUCACUGGAAACACACACUCACUGGACACACACACUCACUGGACACACACACACUCACUGGACACACACACACUCACUGGACACACACACACACACACUGAACACACACACACACACACUGGACACACACACACACACACACUGGACACACACUGGACACGGACACAAACUGGACACACACUCAACACACACACUGAACACAGACACUGGACACACACACACACACACACACACACACACACACACACACACUGGACACACACACACACACACACACACACACACACACACACUGUACACACACACACACACACACACACACACACACACACACACACACACACACACACACUGGACACACACACACACACACACACACACACUGGACACACACGCUGGACACACACACACACUCACUGGACACACACACACACACACACUGAACAAACACACACUCUGGACAUACACACACACGCUGAACACACACACACACUGGACACACACACACACACACACACACUGAACGAACACACACUCUGGACAUACACACACACACACUGGACACACACUCAAACUGGACAAACACACACUCACUGGACACACACACACUCACUGGACACACACACACACACUCACUGGACACACACACACACUCACUGGACACACACACACACUCACUGGACACACACACACUCACUGGACACACACACACACACUCACUGGAUACACACACACACACCCACUGGAUACACACACACACACCCACUGGAUACACACACACACACCCACUGGAUACACACACACACACACUCACUGGAUACACACACACACUCACUGGAUACACACACACACUCACUGGAUACACACACACACACUCACUGGAUACACACACACACACUCUCACUGGACACACACAAACACACACACACACUGAACAAACACACACUCUGGACAUACACACACACGCUGAACACACACACACACUGGACACACACACACACACACACACACACACUGAACACACACACACACACACACACACUGGACACACACACACACUGA
Molecule: long non-coding RNA, 1191 nt
Filed under: Salmo trutta (river trout)
Lineage: Eukaryota; Metazoa; Chordata; Actinopteri; Salmoniformes; Salmonidae
Description: lncRNA (ENSSTUG00000035915.1)
Source: RNAcentral